Thunnus maccoyii (southern bluefin tuna) is the source of this 1036-nucleotide long non-coding RNA. RefSeq lists it as uncharacterized. The transcript is spliced from 3 exons. NCBI's taxonomy places the organism in Eukaryota, Metazoa, Chordata, Actinopteri, Scombriformes, Scombridae. The record is from RefSeq and is a predicted model, not a curated record.
UUUGUCCUGAGAACGAGCGCUUUCUACCGCCACCUUCAGGAGACCCUGAAACACCGCAGGACACGUUAUCAUACAUGUCUUUUUCCAUCUAACCUGUAUGUUGGUCAGCAGCGUCUCCAUGGAUGACAGUCCCUCAGCCAAUAAGAAGGGAGUGAAGGCGGGGUUUGCAGGAGUUGACAGCGGCGAAGAGUUUGUCCUGAAGGCGGCGCUGCAGGAAACAUCAUGGAGUCAUUCAGUCUGAAGAGUUCAUCCUCAAAACGUUUCAUCCAACAUCAAUUUACACUCAUUACUUCUGCUUAUUGUCAAUCUUUGUACGUUUUCAUUAAUAAAUGUUUGUCUAAAUGUUUUGGAUGAUGAGGAGGUGAAGAAGACGAUGAGAUGAAGGUAAAUGUGGAGUAUUAGUUGCUGAUGAUCAAUAAUUAACGAAUGUCUCCAGUGAACGUCCUCUCUGCCUGCAGCAUGUUGGAGCCACUUGGCCCAAUUAAUUGCCUCCUCUAAUUAAUUCAAUCAGUAUUAACGUGGGACUCCUGCUAACGAGUUCUUUUAGUGAUUCUCAGUUCCAUGUGAUUAGCAUCAUGCUAACGACAUUCAAAGUAAAAAUAUCUGAUUGUUAUUAAAGUAAAAGCAGCUGUUAUUCUAUACUUUAUAAUAAUAAUUCUAUACUUUUUAUACGUUCAGACAGGAAGUAAUAGUACAUUUGUUCAUACUAUUUCCAGCAGCGGAUGAAUCACAUAAAGAAGUCGUGUUUCAGGUUGAACUGGUAUCAAAUAUUCACAAUACAAUUAUCACAGGUAAAAAUAUCACAAUAAACAGUUAUAUAAUGAUAAUCAUCACAAGUUUCUUGAACUCCUGCUGUCAGUGAAACAUUGUUAAAUAUAAUUUAAAUAUAGUUAAAUUACUGUGUGAUCACCGUUGACUGUGCUGUUGAAAGCAAAAGGAAAAUAAUGUGAAUUAUUUUAAACUCCCACCAAUGAAGAGUCAUAUGUAAUGACUUCCUUGGAUAAAAAGCAUCCUGCAGAUCACAGAAACAACUAUA